UACGGAGGAGGCAAGCGUUAUCCGGAAUGAUUGGGCGUAAAGGGUCCGCAGGUGGCAGUGUAAGUCUGCUGUCAAAGAAUGAGGCUUAACCUUAUCAAGGCAGUGGAAACUACACAGCUAGAGUACGGUCGGGGUAGAAGGAAUUCCUGGUGUAGCGGUGAAAUGCGUAGAGAUCAGGAAGAACACCGGUGGCGAAAGCGUUCUGCUAGACCUGUACUGACACUGAGGGACGAAAGCUAGGGGAGCGAAUGGG
This 253-nucleotide ribosomal RNA is filed under the name uncultured bacterium. Its description in RNAcentral is "partial 16S ribosomal RNA". It matches the Rfam family "Bacterial small subunit ribosomal RNA", at positions 524 to 776 of the family's 1533-position model. The record is from RNAcentral.